This 394-nucleotide unclassified non-coding RNA is filed under the name Hevea brasiliensis (rubber tree). Lineage: Eukaryota; Viridiplantae; Streptophyta; Magnoliopsida; Malpighiales; Euphorbiaceae. The record is from RNAcentral.
AACCAACACAGAAUUCUUAAAAUUUUUUGUGGUAUUGGGCUUUUAAAUUCACAUUUGCUUCAUGUAAAUAUGAGGUGAAUGGCAGUUAUCGGAAGAAUUCCAUGGGAGGGUCCCCAAGAAUUCAUUUAUAGCUCAGUUUACCAUAUUAAUUCAUAAAAACAUUACAGUACCUACAAGGUUUUUUCUUUGCAAUUUGCAUCUGCAUCGCAGUUGCAUUGAGAGACUGAUAUGGCCUCAUUUGACUCACCAAACUCACCACCAAACCCAUCUUUUGCAAUUAGAGAAACAACCCACAAGUUCUUGAGGAGUCUCUCUUCUGAAGAACCACCUUCUUUCUCUCAUUUUCCCUAUUCUCCAACGCAUUUAGCCACCCCACACCGCCGUUCCUCUCCAU